This 443-nucleotide ribosomal RNA is filed under the name Strix uralensis (Ural owl). RNAcentral describes it as "partial 12S small subunit ribosomal RNA". It matches the Rfam family "Bacterial small subunit ribosomal RNA", at positions 770 to 1406 of the family's 1533-position model. Lineage: Eukaryota; Metazoa; Chordata; Aves; Strigiformes; Strigidae. The record is from RNAcentral.
AACUGGGAUUAGAUACCCCACUAUGCCCGGCCCUAAAUCCUGAUAUUCAUCACCACUAGAACAUCCGCCAGGGUACUACGAGCACAAACGCUUAAAACCCUAAGGACUUGGCGGUGUCCCAAACCCACCUAGAGGAGCCUGUCCUAUAAUCGACAACCCACGAUGCACCCAACCACCCCUUGCCAAGCAGCCUACAUACCGCCGUCGUCAGCCCACCUUUUGAGAGCACAAUAGUGGACACAACAGCCCCCUCCCGCUAAAAAGACAGGUCAAGGUAUAGCCCAUGAGGUGGAAGAGAUGGGCUACACUCUCUGCCAACAGAGGAUCUCACGGAAAAGGGUGUGAAACCUCACCCUAAGAAGGCGGAUUUAGCAGUAAAGGCGGAGCCAUAAUACCCCCUUUAAGACGGCCCUGGGACACGUACAUACCGCCGUCACCCUCCU